Molecule: ribosomal RNA, 1133 nt
Filed under: Klebsiella variicola
Lineage: Bacteria; Pseudomonadati; Pseudomonadota; Gammaproteobacteria; Enterobacterales; Enterobacteriaceae
Description: bacterial SSU rRNA
Rfam family: Bacterial small subunit ribosomal RNA
Source: RNAcentral
AAAUUGAAGAGUUUGAUCAUGGCUCAGAUUGAACGCUGGCGGCAGGCCUAACACAUGCAAGUCGAGCGGUAGCACAGAGAGCUUGCUCUCGGGUGACGAGCGGCGGACGGGUGAGUAAUGUCUGGGAAACUGCCUGAUGGAGGGGGAUAACUACUGGAAACGGUAGCUAAUACCGCAUAACGUCGCAAGACCAAAGUGGGGGACCUUCGGGCCUCAUGCCAUCAGAUGUGCCCAGAUGGGAUUAGCUAGUAGGUGGGGUAACGGCUCACCUAGGCGACGAUCCCUAGCUGGUCUGAGAGGAUGACCAGCCACACUGGAACUGAGACACGGUCCAGACUCCUACGGGAGGCAGCAGUGGGGAAUAUUGCACAAUGGGCGCAAGCCUGAUGCAGCCAUGCCGCGUGUGUGAAGAAGGCCUUCGGGUUGUAAAGCACUUUCAGCGGGGAGGAAGGCGGUGAGGUUAAUAACCUCACCGAUUGACGUUACCCGCAGAAGAAGCACCGGCUAACUCCGUGCCAGCAGCCGCGGUAAUACGGAGGGUGCAAGCGUUAAUCGGAAUUACUGGGCGUAAAGCGCACGCAGGCGGUCUGUCAAGUCGGAUGUGAAAUCCCCGGGCUCAACCUGGGAACUGCAUUCGAAACUGGCAGGCUAGAGUCUUGUAGAGGGGGGUAGAAUUCCAGGUGUAGCGGUGAAAUGCGUAGAGAUCUGGAGGAAUACCGGUGGCGAAGGCGGCCCCCUGGACAAAGACUGACGCUCAGGUGCGAAAGCGUGGGGAGCAAACAGGAUUAGAUACCCUGGUAGUCCACGCUGUAAACGAUGUCGAUUUGGAGGUUGUGCCCUUGAGGCGUGGCUUCCGGAGCUAACGCGUUAAAUCGACCGCCUGGGGAGUACGGCCGCAAGGUUAAAACUCAAAUGAAUUGACGGGGGCCCGCACAAGCGGUGGAGCAUGUGGUUUAAUUCGAUGCAACGCGAAGAACCUUACCUGGUCUUGACAUCCACAGAACUUUCCAGAGAUGGAUUGGUGCCUUCGGGAACUGUGAGACAGGUGCUGCAUGGCUGUCGUCAGCUCGUGUUGUGAAAUGUUGGGUUAAGUCCCGCAACGAGCGCAACCCUUAUCCUUUGUUGCCAGCGGU